This 939-nucleotide long non-coding RNA is filed under the name Anas platyrhynchos platyrhynchos (common mallard). RNAcentral's name for it is "lncRNA (ENSAPLG00000030932.1)". The record is from RNAcentral. Lineage: Eukaryota; Metazoa; Chordata; Aves; Anseriformes; Anatidae.
GGGAAGGAAAAGGUGGAAAUAAAUUUGGCUUGAGGCCAUAUUGUCCCCCUGGGCUCAAUCCCAAGAUCAGUCAAUGGGAGAUGUUCUGUGAGCUUGACAGGACAUUUUAGUGAGCCCUAUAUAAUCCUGGAAUACCAAGUUUUGUGAAAUGGAUAUUCUGCAGAUUCAACUGAAUUGGGCUUUACUUCUACUUAAGUAAACAACAACUAGGCAGUCACAAUUUCUAAUUUCAGAAAAUGAAUUAUUCUACUGUUUUCACAGGAGCGGAAAGAAGAAAGUAAAGAGAGAAGCCUUACACAUGGCUUUGUCCAUCUCUAUGGUCUACAAGAGAAAGAAUCCAGAGGUAUGCAGAGAAAGAGUCAUCAUGGAUCAAAGGAACCCCAUGCAACCUUCCAAAAGAAGGCUUCACCCUCGUCUUGGAAGAGUGUACCUGCACUUUCAAUGACUUUGUCCACAAUGGCAAUGGUAGAAAGAUGUGAUCUGAUUUUGUUAGCGCUCCAAAAUGGUGAGACUAGAAGUGACCUCAGUCAAAAAGUUGUGUGGAUUUUUGAGCUAUAUUGAGUCUGAAAUGUGGCUUAUACAUGUAUUUCCUCUGAGUAUGUAUGCUAUGAAUGUAUGGAUGAAUGCUGAGUAUGUAAGACACCAAGCUCCUUAACCUAAGCUUGGUGUUUUACCCAUCUGCUCACAUAGUUUUAGUUGCUCAGAAAGCCAGUAUGCAUACAUCUACUCACAAUACAAUAAGUAGAUGCUAAUAUGACUGCAUGAGUAUUGGCUCUCACAGUGGAGAGAACAUCUGUAUCAAUGUUUAUAUUAACAACUGCACCAUCAAAUUCACAUCUGGAAAAGUCCAAAUCUGUUUUGAAGCAGUAUUUUUAACUUGUUAAUAUUAUUUGGUGUUGGAAAAAUAAAAUAAAAUAAAUAAAAUAAAAUAAAAUAAAA